UGUCAGUGAAUUUAAGUGAACCACACACUAUUUUCCCGUUGACGCUACCAAACAAACAAACAAAGGAUUAAGGAACCCAUAUAUUUGGAUCACACUCCCUAAAGAAAGCAAUGACAAAACCAAAACAAAAAAAAGAUCCAACUUAAAUACGCUUGCCAAGAUUCAACUUUUCACUUUCACCAAUUCCUUACAUAGAUCUCUCUCUCAUCCUCCAAAUCUUCGUUUACUAAUCCAAUUAUCACAAACAACCUUCUUUCUGCAAAGAUCUCUGGGUGUUGGGCUCUGAGUUUCAUUUCUUUUUCUUGGCCAUAAUGGAGAAGAAGGUGGUGUUGGCUGUAGUGUGUGCCGCCGCUGUGGCUGGGGCUGUCACGGCGGCCUUCGUUGUCAAGCGAAAAAUGAGGAAGGAUGGUAAGUGGGCCAGAGCAAUAGAAAUAGUGAAAGAGAUGGAGGAAAAAUGUGCCACCCCUAUUGGAAAGCUGAAGCAGGUUGCUGAUGCCAUGCUUGUGGAGAUGCAUGCUGGUCUUGCCUCGGAAGGUGGAAGCAAACUUAAGAUGCUCAUCAGCUAUGUCGAUAAUUUGCCUACUGGUGAUGAGAAUGGAUUGUUUUACGCAUUGGAUCUUGGCGGAACAAACUUCCGUGUAUUGCGGGUGAAACUUGGGGGCAAGGAUGGUCGUCUGGUUAAUCAAGAAUUUGCAGAGGUGCCUAUUCCUCCAAAUUUGAUGACUGGGACAUCAAAUGCACUGUUUGACUAUAUUGCAGCAGAACUAGCAAAAUUUGUUGCUCAAGAAGGUGAAGAGCUUCAAAGUCCACCUGGUAAAAUGAGGGAAUUGGGUUUCACCUUCUCAUUUCCUGUUAUACAAACAUCCAUCGCUUCUGGGACUCUUGUUAGGUGGACAAAAGGCUUCUCUAUAGAUGACACUGUCAGUCUGAAUUUCUUGAUCUUUAUUCUAUAUUUUCUUAUAUGAAAUGCCUUCCUGGUUUUGUGUGAAGUGAAUAUCAUUGCUUUGAUAAUUGGAUAUUAUUUAUAGCAACUCUUAGAAACUGUACACUUUUUCUAGGCUAUUUUUUUAACUAAUAAUGUGAGUGAAGACAUGACUCGUCUUGAUUUCUGGAAAAUAGGUUGGCCAAGAUGUCGUGGUGCAAUUGACCAAAGCGAUGGAAAGACAGGGUGUUCAUAUGCACGUAUCAGCUCUGGUAACAAAGUUUUGGAUUUUCUAAUUACAACUAAUAAGAUCUUCAUGUCAGUACACCAUAUAUAUCUUGUGCUGCUAUUUGAUGUUUGAACUCUAUAUGUCAGUUCUUCAGAAUGUUGUUAUUAUCAUUGCCAUAAAUUUGUAAUCCAAUUUAGACUUAAAGAACUUUGGUGCCAGGUCAAUGAUACAGUUGGAACCCUAGCUGGAGGCAAAUACUUCCACAAGGAUGUUAUUGCUGCCGUGAUUUUAGGUACUGGGACAAAUGCUGCUUAUGUGGAAUGUGCACAAGCAAUACCAAAAUGGCAUGGUGCUUUACCUGAAUCUGGCGAGAUGGUUAUCAAUAUGGAGUGGGGUAACUUUAGGUCAUCACAUCUUCCUCUUACUGAUUAUGACCUUGCAUUGGAUGUUGAAAGUUUAAAUCCUGGUGAACAGAUCUUUGAGAAGAUAAUUUCUGGUAUGUACCUGGGAGAAAUUGUACGCAGAGUUCUUCUAAAUAUGGCUGAAGAAGCUGCUUUUUUCGGUGACAUUCUUCCCUCCAAACUUAAAAUUCCUUUCAUAUUAAGGUAACUUCAAUGGGCUAGAUUAUAUCUUAGGUUUGUGUGGUCUAGUCUACUGAUACAUGUUAAGAAAAUUUAUUUCCUAGACAUGAACUUUCAAUGAGAAUAUCUGAAGUUUGAGAGGACUAGCAUACUAAUCUAGCAAAUAUCAGGAAUUUAGAAGUGGACUUUCCAUUUCUAUUGUUGAUAUUUGGAGCCAUCUCAAAUAUUUGAAUUUUUUAGUCAUUGAAUCUUCCAUCUGAUUAUGUCAGUUUGAGUUUAUUGCAUCUUUUCAAAUAAAGUUUAUUUCAUGUUUUUUGUUUGUUGUUGGAAAAGUCAUUCACAUACAAACUUCAUUGCACUAGAAAAGAUGACUCAUCUUUCCAUGCAUAUGAUUGAUAAUCUCCAACACCAAACUAAUUAAAACUUUUUGGUUUACUGAUAUUAAGUAAUUUGAAAAGACUGAAAAAAGAAAGUGUUAACUAAUGUGGCUUUAAGCAUCUAAGAAGUAAGAUUUUAGGGACCAUGGGAUUCUUUUUGUAUUGCGAAUAAGAGCCAUUUACACAGAGAGUGAUUGCUAAUACUUGUGAGCAAUUGGUUGCUGGUUAAUGAAGGGUACAUUUAUUUUUUUCUUUUGAGGAUAAAAUGUGGUGCAAAGAGUGGUGCCAUAGAUGGGUAGUAUUCUUGCAGGUUGCAUUAAUUCUCUUGAACUGGCCUUUUUCCCCCUUUUUGUUUUUGAAUGUGCACAUUGGUUUUCAUUCGCUUAUUUCUUAUGAUUUUUUUUUCUUGUGCAUCUCCUACUCUAUAUGGGAUCCAUAUCUUUCUUCAUCUACUAAAAGUUGAUAUAAAUAUUUACUAAAGAGAAGAAACUGAGAAAAUCAUAGAGAUAAAUAUGUAUGAGCAAAUUUUUUUUAGUGCAGUUUUCUGUGGCUUAUUUAGUUUGGCAUGACAAAUGACAAGUUGCUAGUGGUUAUGUUCAGCGGCUUAAUCUUCAUUAUCACUUGUCUGAUGCUAGUUAAUGUGUACUAAUUUGAGUGGCAAACAUUGUAGAAUUUAGUUACGUUGUGAAUUUUGCAUGGCAGAACACCUGAUAUGUCAGCAAUGCAUCAUGAUACAUCUUCUGAUCUUGAAGUGGUGGGGAGUAAAUUGAAGGAUAUUUUAGAGAUAUAUAAUACCUCGUUGAAAACAAGAAAAGUAGUUGUUGAGCUCUGCAACAUUGUUGCCACCCGUGGAGCACGACUAGCAGCAGCUGGAAUUUUAGGCAUCCUGAAGAAAAUGGGGAAGGAUACAGUCAAAGAGGGGGAUAAACAGAGUACAGUGAUAGCCUUGGAUGGUGGAUUGUAUGAACACUAUAGUGAGUAUAGCAAAUGCAUGGAGAAUACUCUUAAUGAAUUGCUUGGAGAAGAAGUGUCCAAAACCAUUGAGAUUGUGCACUCCAAUGAUGGAUCUGGCAUCGGAGCUGCUCUCCUUGCUGCCUCGCAUUCACGUUAUCGUUAAGUUGAGCAUCUUGCCAUAGGAAAGAUUUCUUUGUUUUUUUUGGGCUUCAUUGCAACCCCUCCACAUUUUUUUCCCCUUUAAUCAUAUUGUCGUCGUGUUUCUUCAUUGAUCAUCAUUCUUCAACUUUGAUUUAGAAGAAUGGUACUGUGAAUACUUAAAUCACACCUUCCAGAACAUGUAGAGGUGGAUUCAAUAUAUUAAAGCAGGACCUGGAAGUGGCCAAUAUUUUUAUGCUUAGGCCUGCAAUUCUAAUGGACUGAUCCUGCUAGUGGUUGCCAGUUUCUCCUGGUGGUAAUAAUAAAUUGAAUUCUUUACAUGCUGUUGUCGGAUGGUACAUCUGUCCAUUGAUUCUGAUCUGGUGCAUGUUAAUAAAUCCAUGCGGUGUCAUUGUUUGAAUAUCUUCAUCUGUUUACAGAUGAUGAGCUUGUCUUCUUCAUACACAAUACAUAAAUGUUUUAGCAAAUGGUGUUUUUUCCCCCUCCAGUUAGGGUUUGAACCUGUAAUUUUGUAGAUGAUUUCAGUAUCACUAAUGCAAAUGCUGUAAUAAUGAAGUAUUUU
Molecule: unclassified non-coding RNA, 3784 nt
Filed under: Hevea brasiliensis (rubber tree)
Lineage: Eukaryota; Viridiplantae; Streptophyta; Magnoliopsida; Malpighiales; Euphorbiaceae
Source: RNAcentral